AGAAGUCACCCUUAUAACUACGCCAGGAACAAGAGACUCAUUUACAGUUGUGUCUUUAAACCCUAUGAGGACACAGGUGUUCAGCAGGGAAGGACACCAGAAUCAUCCCAAAAACAGGGAAAGAUCAUCCCUUCUAUUCCAAAAUUUGUUUCCAUGCACAAUACUGUUAUUGCAAAGGGGCAGAGGGAUGAUCUUCAGUUUGAGUUUUAGAGUACUUCAGAUCUCUAGGCAUUAUUAUACUUUCUCCCAUUACUCCUGUCACACCCUAGUGUAGUUCUACCAUUUAGCCAGAAGGUGGAGCACUGUCAAUAGCUGGGUUGUAUUCUUUGGACAACACAGAGAGAACAGGUCUUCACCAACUGCAAUAGCAGAAAUUUGGGUUUUGAGCCUAAAAACCGGGGUUUCAUUUCUUCAUACAGUUUAAAACACACAUACAAAGAAGAUAAGGCUCACAUUAAAAUUAGCAAAGAAGAGGUCUUAAGCAGGGAAAGAAAAAAAAAAAGAUAGACUCUGCGACUAAAGAAUUAGAGAGAGAUAAACAAACAUACAAGUUUAUUAGCAGAGUGGUUUCCGAUGGUACUAUUAACACCCUAGCUCAUGGGCAUGAUUUAGGAAACUAUAGGAACCAGACAGGUGUCUCUGGUUGGACUCUAGGAGAGAUUUAGGCUAUAUAUCAAGCCUUUUCUUGUCCCUGGGUUUUAUGCUGGGCAAUUAUCUCAAUUUAAUUUCAUUUUGUGAAGACACCAGGCCAAACACAUGGCAGACUACUGGUGCAGAACUGACAGCUGUCAGUUUGUAGCUCAUAUGGUUUACAACAUGACUUUCCCCUUGUUCCAACUCCCUUCCCUACCAAUUUAUUUCAGUCCUGGCUUGCGACUCCCUUUCUGUCCAAGCCCUCGACUCCCCCACAGUUCUACCUCUGACCCUACCUGCAGCAUUUCUCAAUAGUUUGACUCUAUCUAGGCCUCUCCUCUGUCCAAAGAAUGCCCACUGUGCCAAACUGUAGAUACAUUUUAUAGUAUAGACCAACACCAGCUACCUGCAGUGACCAUAUUUCUUUCCAUGGCUAUGCGGCCUGGGCUUUUUCUUUUUUUUUUUUGGUCUGUGUCUAUGAUGCAAGUUGAUUACAUAAACUCUGACCACAAGCCGUUCAAGGCUGCUUAGGUUAAUCACUCAUUUCACUCUCAUGAGGGAAAGCCUGAAAUUUCCUCUCAGCCUCGUGAGCUGGAGAAUUCCCCAUGAGACUACAGAGGAAACCGAAAACCAGCAAGGCUUGGAGGAAGUGGGGCAACAGCAUGGACAGGCCUGCAUAAAGCAUCAUGCUCGUGCUAUACCGAAACAAUCUUGCCCCAUCUGCCAUCACUUGGGGAGCUUCAUUCAUUGCUCAGAACAAACUAAAAAAACACAUUUCUUGCCAGGAAGUGAGAGUGGUUGCAGGCAGUGCAGAAACAAGACAGGGCUUUUGACAGUACAACAUACCUUUCAGAAGACAUUACAGUUGCAAUGUGCUAGGUGGGGGUGGGGGAAGAGACAAGGGAAACUGUCACAGGAAAUGAAUUAAGGGAACAUUAAUCCCUUCUCCUGUGUGCAUUAGAUAAUGAGCUUUAAUAAUUUACAGGCUGAACACCGUCCUCCCUGCUGCCUUUCUCCCCUCCACGUGCAGCAACUGUGAUGCCAUUCACAGGGUCACUGCGUGGUGCAAGUACAGGCAGUGAGAAGUGCCUGCUGUCACUAAGAUGAAGCUUUACCAGACCAGCCAAGGGGAGAGAGCCCUACUCUCCCUGCUCCUCUAUGAAUCUUCCCCACUGCCCGCCUGUUGUGUAAGGAGAGAAGAGAUGUGCAAGGUACCAAUUCGGCCUGCAUCCUGUAGCUGGA
This is a long non-coding RNA of Gavialis gangeticus (Gharial), 1875 nucleotides long. RefSeq lists it as uncharacterized. The transcript is spliced from 2 exons. Lineage: Eukaryota; Metazoa; Chordata; Crocodylia; Gavialidae. The record is from RefSeq and is a predicted model, not a curated record.